GAGAAUUCCAUAGUUAGCUGACUUUGACAAUGACCUUCAUUUGGACUUGAAUCGGCAAAAGUUGUAGGUUUUCAGCUUCCGAUACAUUUUGGUUAGAUGUGGGCCCACGUGUCGCUAUAAAAGUAAUUUUAUGCUUUGGUUAUUUGCUUUAUAGUAUAUAUGAAUAUAAUUAACUUUUACGCUAUAAGAAUUAUUUACCGAUAGCUUUAUAAAAAU
Molecule: long non-coding RNA, 216 nt
Filed under: Theobroma cacao (cacao)
Lineage: Eukaryota; Viridiplantae; Streptophyta; Magnoliopsida; Malvales; Malvaceae
Description: long non-coding RNA (TCAC_LNC005163)
Source: RNAcentral